UGGGGAAUAUUGGACAAUGGGCGCAAGCCUGAUCCAGCCAUACCGCGUGGGUGAAGAAGGCCUUCGGGUUGUAAAGCCCUUUUGUUGGGAAAGAAAAGCAGCUGGUUAAUACCCGGUUGUUCUGACGGUACCCAAAGAAUAAGCACCGGCUAACUUCGUGCCAGCAGCCGCGGUAAUACGAAGGGUGCAAGCGUUACUCGGAAUUACUGGGCGUAAAGCGUGCGUAGGUGGUUGUUUAAGUCUGUCGUGAAAGCCCUGGGCUCAACCUGGGAAGUGCGAUGGAAACUGGGCGACUAGAGUGUGGCAGAGGAUAGUGGAAUUCCUGGUGUAGCAGUGAAAUGCGUAGAGAUCAGGAGGAACAUCCGUGGCGAAGGCGACUGUCUGGGCCAACACUGACACUGAGGCACGAAAGCGUGGGGAGCAAACA
This 427-nucleotide ribosomal RNA is filed under the name uncultured bacterium. Its description in RNAcentral is "partial 16S ribosomal RNA". It matches the Rfam family "Bacterial small subunit ribosomal RNA", at positions 355 to 774 of the family's 1533-position model. The record is from RNAcentral.